Molecule: small nuclear RNA, 287 nt
Filed under: Callipepla squamata (scaled quail)
Lineage: Eukaryota; Metazoa; Chordata; Aves; Galliformes; Odontophoridae
Description: 7SK RNA
Rfam family: 7SK RNA (bases 1-249)
About the family: 7SK was discovered as an abundant small nuclear RNA in the mid-70s but a possible function has only recently been suggested. Two independent studies have found that 7SK RNA binds the CDK9/cyclin T complex (known as elongation factor P-TEFb).
Source: Rfam by way of RNAcentral
GAAUGUGGGGGUGGUUGUGGCUUUGAAAUGCAUGACCUCACUGAUCACCAGAUUGUUCUGUCUGAUAUGGAUGGGUGGGUGGGUGUCCCAUUCUUCUCUCACUGCUCCAUGUAUGUUUCUCCCAAAGCUGUACACUCAGUCAAAGAGGAUGACUUCCCUCAUACAGAUGUACAUUCAUCAGUUCAGUGCAUGCUAGAACCUCCAAGCAAGUUCUGUAACUCUAUGAGCUGAAUCUUUACCUGAAUAGAUGGCAGAGUUGAAAUUCCUCCUGAGAAAACUGAUUCAGC